This 426-nucleotide ribosomal RNA is filed under the name uncultured bacterium. RNAcentral describes it as "bacterial SSU rRNA". It matches the Rfam family "Bacterial small subunit ribosomal RNA", at positions 354 to 796 of the family's 1533-position model. The record is from RNAcentral.
GCAGGGAAUAUUGCACAAUGGGCGCAAGCCUGAUGCAGCGACGCCGCGUGCGGGAUGAAGGCCUUCGGGUUGUAAACCGCUUUCAGGAGGGACGAAAAUGACGGUACCUCCAGAAGAAGCCCCGGCCAACUACGUGCCAGCAGCCGCGGUAACACGUAGGGGGCGAGCGUUGUCCGGAUUUAUUGGGCGUAAAGGGCUCGUAGGCGGUUCAGCAAGUCAAUCGUGAAAACCCGGGGCUCAACCCCGGGACGCCGGUCGAAACUGCUGUGACUAGGGUCCGGUAGAGGUGAGUGGAAUUCUCGGUGUAGCGGUGAAAUGCGCAGAUAUCGAGAGGAACACCAGUAGCGAAGGCGGCUCACUGGGCCGGUACCGACGCUGAUGAGCGAAAGCGUGGGGAGCAAACAGGAUUAGAAACCCUAGUAGUCC